GUACACACCGCCCGUCGCUACUACCGAUUGGUGGCUUAGUGAGGCUUGGAUUGCCGAGUGAUUGCAGCAAUGUGAACACUUGGCGAGAAGUUGCCCAAACUGGUCAUCUAGAGGAGUAAAAGUCGUAACAAGGUUUCCGUAGGUGAACCUGCAGAGGAUCA
Molecule: ribosomal RNA, 161 nt
Filed under: uncultured eukaryote
Lineage: Eukaryota
Description: partial small subunit ribosomal RNA
Rfam family: Eukaryotic small subunit ribosomal RNA
Source: RNAcentral